This 732-nucleotide ribosomal RNA is filed under the name uncultured prokaryote. Its description in RNAcentral is "bacterial SSU rRNA". It matches the Rfam family "Archaeal small subunit ribosomal RNA", at positions 44 to 782 of the family's 1478-position model. The record is from RNAcentral.
CUAAGCCAUGCGAGUCUUUGUAGUAAUACAAGGCAGACGGCUCAGUAACACGUAGUCAACCUACCCUAUGGACGAGAAUAAUCUCGGGAAACUGAGCAUAAUUCUUGAUAGAUCAUAAUGCCUGGAAUGGUUUAUGGUUAAAAUGAUUCGUCGCCAUAGGAUGGGACUGCGGCCUAUCAGCUUGUUGGUGAGGUAAUGGCCCACCAAGGCGAUUACAGGUACGGGCUCUGAGAGGAGAAGCCCGGAGAUGGGUACUGAGACACGGACCCAGGCCCUAUGGGGCGCAGCAGGCGAGAAAACUUUGCAAUGUGCGAAAGCACGACAAGGUUAAUCCGAGUGAUUUCUGCUAAAGAAAUCUUUUGCCAGUCGUAAAACCGCUGGUGAAUAAGGGGUGGGCAAGUUCUGGUGUCAGCCGCCGCGGUAAAACCAGCACCUCAAGUGGUCAGGAUGAUUAUUGGGCCUAAAGCAUCCGUAGCCGGCUUUGUAAGUUUUCGGUUAAAUCCAUGUGCUCAACGCAUGGGCUGCCGAAAAUACUGCAUAGCUAGGGAGUGGGAGAGGUAGACGGUACUCAGUAGGUAGGGGUAAAAUCCUUUGAUCUAUUGAUGACCACCUGUGGCGAAGGCGGUCUACCAGAACACGUUCGACGGUGAGGGAUGAAAGCUGGGGGAGCAAACCGGAUUAGAUACCCGGGUAGUCCCAGCUGUAAACGAUGCAGACUCGAUGAUGCAUUGG